RNAcentral lists this microRNA (22 nucleotides) under Caenorhabditis elegans. Its description in RNAcentral is "cel-miR-241-3p". Its record names the gene cel-miR-241-3p. Lineage: Eukaryota; Metazoa; Nematoda; Chromadorea; Rhabditida; Rhabditidae. The record is from miRBase by way of RNAcentral.
AUUGUCUCUCAGCUGCUUCAUC